RNAcentral lists this non-coding RNA (29 nucleotides) under Cricetulus griseus (Chinese hamster). The record is from RNAcentral. Lineage: Eukaryota; Metazoa; Chordata; Mammalia; Rodentia; Cricetidae.
AGGAAGCAGAACGUAUUUUUAAUAAGAGA